GAGGGAAGCCCUCACCCCCGGGCACGGCCAGAGCAGCCCGGAGCGCCGGGAACAGGCGUGGGCUCCGGAACAGCCCUACCCCGCCCCUGGCCCCGCUCCCGGAGCUCGGCCCAAUCCGCCCGGGGCACAAUAGCGCCUCUCUGGCCCAGCGGCCGGUCCCGGGAUACAGCCCAGGCUGCCUGGAAAGCUCUUUUAUUAAAGAGUUCGUCUCUAUCGGCCUGUCCAGAGUGUAUCCAGAUCCAGCACAAAAGGACAAAUUCAUUCGGAUUUCUUUUCAGGUGGGAAUCACCAGAUGAUUUGGAAAUUCUUGAAGAUAUUAGCUACAUGUUUCAAGGGAUUACUUUCUGACGUGCAAGAAGUCACAUGCUAAUCCUCCACUUUAAAAAUAUAGCUCUGUCUUUGAGGCAAUUUAUCUAAACUGGAGAUGUAUUUGCCUAUAUUAUAUAUAGCCUACUGAAAUUUAUUCCCAAAAAGUAAACUACAAACUUAGACCAAAAAAAAGAAGAUGUUCUGUCUGUAGUGCCUCAGGAAAAUUCUUCACUGCAUACAUGAAUGAAGAGCAAAAGGAAAGGAAGGAGAGAACUUUGAACUUGUGCCAAGAGAAGUGUCUUGUCACUGGAAGGAGGGCCUCUGGAGGAGAGGACCUUGGAAAUGCAACAAAUCUGAGUCCUCCAGGGAAUGAGAACUGCAAUUAUGUAAGACCCAAUAUCAUCAGUUAUUUAGUAACUUGUCAAUAUCUAAGAUCAAUUACUUUAGUGGGUGCUUAUUGUUAUUGCUGAAUAUUUACUAUUUACAUAUCAUCACAUCUAUUACAGUAUUGUUAACCACUCAUUCGAGGAAUACAGAAAGUGUCAAAGGCAAGGCAUGGAAAACUCUUAAACACCUCAGGCACAUUAGCAGUUACUGAGAGGCAGCUAAGUGAACAAUGCUUGCAGACUAUUUAAAAAAGGAGGGCAAGGAGCUAGGCACUUCAUUCAGCUCAGGAGUUCUAGACAGAAUAAGAACACAGAAUCUAGGAAAAUUGCCAGCUAGAUAGAUGUGUGACCUUUCAUUUGAAUUUAAGUCAAGACAAACAAGCAAAUAAGCUGGUUUGAUUUAUUCCCAGGUGUAAGUACAUACACCAAAUUGCCAUGUGUGUUACUCUCUACAAGUACUUCAUUCUAGACCUUUGUUGCGAUUUUAACAAAACUGCAGCAGAACUACGUAGCUGGGCAAAUCAUCGUUGGUAUUUUGAAAUGUUUGCAAACUUAUAUAAACCCAG
Molecule: non-coding RNA, 1261 nt
Organism: Cyanistes caeruleus (blue tit)
Lineage: Eukaryota; Metazoa; Chordata; Aves; Passeriformes; Paridae
Source: RefSeq, a predicted model, not a curated record